AUAACGAAUCAAAAAUCAAUAAACGAUAGUACUUCAAUACACACGCAGAAAUUCACGAGAAGUCAACACACCAUCUUUGGGCUCGAAAGUUUCAAAUCAUGCUUGUUGGGCCUAGCUAGCCCAAUGACAUGAUCUUUAGGCCCGAAGGGAACGCGCUUACAUGUUAUUGGGCCUUAUAUGACCUAGUUCCGUGUAAAAGGACUUUCAAUAGCUUUAUUGUGUUGUUGGGCCCCAAGGGUCCUUUGGUACUGCUAGCAAAGUCAAGAAGUCAAAUGCGAGUCGGGCCAAGUGCCUUUCGCAUUCACGAUAGCCUUGAACGACUCAUGGAAAUAACGGGGGCUUCGUACCCUCUUUUCUCCUCGGUUGUGGGGCUAUGAGAAGUCAGGGUGGUUGGAUUAAGUGAGUAGUACGGACGACGCCUAAGGGAUCGUUUGUAUAGUUGUAAACUAGUCAUUUUCAUUAAUGCGUGAUUAUAACGACUCACAACCCAUAAUUAAUCCAAUGUCACCUGGAAUUAUCGAAAACAACGUCGUAUCGGAAUAACACUAACUCAGCCACGUAAUUUAAUGUAUUGGGAAAACAUCGGGUUUUCCUGGGAAAUUCAACGCUCUUAACUAUGUGAUAUAUACAAAGUUUAACAAUUAUUCACAUUCAUAAUAAUCAACAAGCAUACUUACGGAUCUUCACACUUUUUCUUAUAUACAACAUUUCUUUUUAGAAAAUAUCGGAUUUUCUGUGGUUUUCAAAAUUAUACAAAUCAUUUCUUUUCAAACCUUACUUAUGAACUCACCAACAUUUCAUAUGUUGACGUUUUUCCAAAAUACUUGUAUUCUCAGGUAACAGGAAAUUCGAAGGAAAAAUGUACCCAGUGAUGUCAUGUUGUUUGUUUAAUUAGUAUCGAACAAUUUACGUUUUGGAAAUGUAAUGUUUUGAAACAAUGUACUAAAUGUAAACAAUACCGGUUGUAAUAUUUCAAUGCAUGGUGAUGAAUGAUGUUAUGUUUCAUGUAUAUUCAUUGUGAUGGUAUUCAAUUGAGUCACAAUAGCCCUCGGACGUUUCCGCCGUCUGGUUCGGGGGUGUGACAGGUUGGUAUCAGAGCUCUGUUUAUAGUGAACUAGCAUAUCUAGCCACACAUUGAUAUGCAACUAUAAACCAAAAGAGGGACUAACACAACUCUGAACAAAACAAGUAAAACAUAACAAUAAAACACCCUUGCUUGUAUUAGGAACGAGAACCUAACACCGAAUCAAACAAGAUAAUGCUAGUAUCUCGGUUAAUCCAGGACUGUUCUUAGUUGUAUCAAGGAACGGAUGUAGCCUGAUCAACUACAUUCCUACCAAGGUAUCACUACCACACGUCCUGAGGAGAUCGUGAUAGCUAGGGAACCUAAAAACAUACCCCUUUAUCACCAAAAAGAGAACGUCUGUUUAGUCUGUACAAUAGUUGUAGCAUCCUAGGAAUAAUGUUAGCAUAUUUACACACUCUCGCAGACAGCAUGGCUGGUUUCCAUCACCCCGGAGAUCCUUACUUCCCUAACCAGGGAAAUAACGGAUGGAUCGACGAAGAGCCUGAAGAAGAGCCUGAGGAAGACCCCGAGGAGGAAUCUGACGGGGAACCGGAGGCAGGAGCCGAGGGCGAGCCUGCCGAACCAGAAGAAGAUGAAGGAAACUUUGAGGAGGAACCUGACGACAGCGAAGGGGGUGAUUCGGACGCGGAGUCCGAAGUCAUCAACCCCCCUUACCCGAUUAGGGUGCCUGCUUACCGGGUAGGCCCCACUGGUCCUACACCCCCCUGGGGUAUUGAUCUUUGGAGAUGGAGCAGACAGCAGGGACAACGACCCCCGUUCGGCAUGUCACGCGAGUUCUUUGACCUGAGGGACGGAGGACCGGCCGAUCGAGCCCUUCCGGUCAUGGUGAGACGGUUACGGAACACUGGCGACCUUGCUCAGAGCACCGCCGACCAGGUACGCCAACUGUGGACUAGGGUCGAGCGUGCAGAGCAGGAGACACGAGACGUCCUUCGAGAGUUCCAUAUGAGGCAGGUGAGGUGGGAGUCUCGACUCCAGGAUGCAGAACGAUAGGUGGCUCGUCUUCAGGGAGCAUCCACUUCCUCAGCACCACCCCCGGGCACAACUCAUCGCGAUUAGGGAUAGGCUUAUUUGACUAGGCUAUUAGGAUCUAUGCUAUGUACCCCGACUCAAUGUUUAAGUGACUACACUACUCAUAGAGCCAUUAUGCUGCCGAACUAAUAUCACUUAUGUAUGCUCUUUCGAGCAAAAUUUUCAUGUAUCAAAUGCGGAUAAUAUUAGUGAACUUUUAAGUGUUUUAUUAUGACAUUACAAAUUGCUACGUGUUGCAAAUCCAUGAUUGUAUGCUAAUUUGUAGAAGUACUUAAGUUCGUACCAUGCACCUAGUCAGUAGGAUCACAACCUCACAGAACCCACAAACACUCAACAUCUUUCCGUUUCAUGACAGAAAGAUGCCUCGCCGACCUUCUCGUGGAAACCCUGGACCAACCCCACCCGAAGAUGACUCCACUGCAUUCCAGGUAGCCGUAUCUGCUACGGUCACCACAGCUAUGGCACAAAUUCACCAAGGGAACAACGGAGGAGGCAACGGGCAAGGGGCCGGGAGUUCGAACAACGGAAUGAAUCAAGGACCCACCAAAAGCUGUACGUACAAGGACUUCACGAACGCCAAACCACGAACCUUUAACGGCACCGGAGGAGUGAUCACCCUGAAACGAUGGAUCGAGAAGGUGGAAUCGGUGUUCGAGAUAUGCGAUUGCCCUGAAGAGAUGAAAGUAAAGUUUGCUGCAUGCACUUUUGUCGACCAAGCGCUCACUUGGUGAAACGGGCACGUGGAAGACAUGACACUCCCCGUAGCCAAUUCCAUGCCAUGGACAGAAAUGAAGGAAAUGCUGAUGUUCGAAUACUGCCCUCGUGGUGAGAUUCAGAAAGUGGAGCAAGAGCUGUGGAACCUCACUGUACGGAAUGCUGAUAUCGAUGCCUACAUAUCCAGAUUUAGUGAACUAUCUCUGUUAUGUCCGGGCAUGAUCACCUCGGAAGGAAAGAAGAUUGAGCGAUUCAUCUGGGGACUAACCUCUCCGAUCCAAGGAAACGUGAUAGCUGCAAAUCCCGAAACUUUCGACAGUGCUAAGAGAUUUGCAAAGAAACUGUAUGAACACAACAACAAGAAGGGUGAGAAACCAGCAUUGGCUGAAGGCAAGAAGGAAGGUGAUGGCAAGAAGGGGAAGAACAACACGAGGAAGGGGCGUCAAGGCCCCGAGACUUCUAAGAAGCAGCAGACAGCCCAUUANAAGUUCCGGCCACACCACAUGCUCCAUCCUCAGCUGCUUCGAAUGCUCCUAGACCUUAUUCUGGUAAUCUUCCCAAGUACAAGAAGUGCGGUUUCCAUCACAAUGGAGAGUGAAAGGAGCUGCAGUGCACCAGUUGCAAUCGGAAGGGGCACACGGCAAGGUAUUGCAGGACUUACCCUCCUUAGAAUCAACAAUAGGGAAACAACAACAACAACAUCAACACCGGCGGCAACAAUGCAAGGCCUAGCCACACCUGCUAUGGGUGUGGGAGGACUGGGCAUUUCCGCCGAGAUUGUCCUAACAAGAACAAUCCCGGAAAUGGAGGAACAGGAACGGUGCUGACUAUGGGUCAGGGGGAGGCGAUUCAGGAUCCCGCUGUUGUUACCGGUACGUUUCUCUUAAACCACACAUAUGCAUGCAUCCUAUUUGACACUGGAGUCGAGCGAUGUUUUGUGAGCAAUAAGUUUAAACAUUUAUUAAAACAACAACCCCAGAAGCUCAAUGAAACCUUUACGGUGGAAAUGGCCAAUGGGAAAACCGAAUCUACUGGGGAAAUCUACACCUGAUGUACCCUAACCUUAAAUCAACACGUCUUUCGAAUAGACUUAAUGCCUGUUUCCAUUAGGAGUUUCGAUGUGAUUAUUGGCAUGGACUGGUUAAGCCCCCACCAUGCUGAAAUUAUGUGUCACGAGAAGGCCGUUCGCCUUCACCUCCCCAAUCACGAAACCCUAGUUAUUUACGGAGACAAACCUAGCACGAACCUUCGCCUCAUCUCGUGCAUCCAGGCACAGAAGCAUCUACGAAAGAACGAUUUGACGUUUCUGGCUCACAUAGUGGAUAAAACCAAGGAAGAGGUUAACAUUCAAGACAUUCCCGUAGCACGUGAAUUCCCAGACGUAUUUCCUGAAGAUCUUCCUGGAGUACCCCCAGAGAAACAAUUUGAGUUCCGAAUUGACCUCGUUCCAGGAGCAACCCCUCUCGCUAAAUCGCAUUACCGGCCACUCCUGCUGAAAUGCAGGAAUUGUUCAGCCAACUCAGCGAACUCCUGGGCAAGGGAUUCAUCCGACCCAGCUACUCGCCAUGGGGAGCUCCGGUCCUCUUUGUCAAAAAGAAGGACGGAUCUUUUAGAAUGUGCAUCGAUUACAGGGAGUUAAAUAAACUCACUGUCAAAAAUCGCUAUCCACUCCCAUGAAUCGACGAUCUAUUUGACCAGCUCCAAGGAGCUAGUUACUUCUCUAAGAUAGAUCUACGGUCCGGGUACCAUCAACUCAAGGUCCUGGAAGAGGAUAUUCCUAAAACCGCUUUCCGAACUCGUUACGGACAUUAUGCAUUUGUCGUAAUGCCCUUUGGUUUAACGAAUGCCCCUGCCGCAUUUAUGGACCUUAUGAACCGAGUCUAUCGGCCAUUCCUCAACAACUUUGUUAUCGUCUUCAUUGACGACAUCCUAGUCUAUUCCCGAAAUGAAGAAGAUCAUGGCCAACAUCUCCGACAAAUCGUAGAAACUCUGCGAUCAGAAAAACUAUACGCAAAACUCUCCAAGUGUGAGUUCUGGCUCCGUAGCAUGAACUUCCUAGGUCAUGUUGUUAGUCAAGAAGGAACUCAUGUGGAUCCUUCCAAGGUCAAAGCCGUCGAAGGAUGGGCAGUCCCGAUAACACCCACAGAAAUUCGUCAAUUCUUAGGCCUGGCAGGCUACUAUAGGAGGUUCAUUCAAAACUUCUCUAAGAUCUCCAAGCCACUUACCUCACUUACACAAAAGGGCGUACCAUUCAAAUGGACGGACAAACAAGAAGUUGCAUUCCGAACCCUGAAGCAGAUGCUCUGCAGCGCCCCGGUACUAUCUCUACCAGAGGGAACAUAAGAUUUCGUGGUCUACUGUGACGCGUCAAAUCAGGGUUUAGGUUGCGUUCUCAUGCAGCGUGGAAGAGUGAUAGCUUACGCAUCCCGCCAACUAAAAACGCACGAAGUGAAUUAUACGACCCAUGACCUAGAAUUGGGAGCCGUGGUCUUUGCCCUGAAGAUUUGGAGGCAUUACCUUUAUGGUACAAAGUGCACCAUCUUCACAGACCACAAGAGCCUCCAGCACAUCUUGAAUCAGAAAGAGCUGAAUAUGAGGCAACGAAGAUCGGUGGAGUUAUUAAAUGAUUACGAGUGUGAAAUCAGGUAUCACCCAGGCAAGGCCAAUGUAGUAGCUGAUGCAUUGAGCCGGAAAGAGUACUCUAAUCGUCGUGCGAAAACUCUCUCGAUAACCAUCCAAUCUCACCUAACCACUCAGAUCGGGGUAGCCCAGUCAGAUGCCAUGAAGACGUAAAACAGAGCAAGCGAAGCAUUACGCAGAAUGGAAAAGAACCUAGAGGUGAGAGAAGACGGAGUAUACCAUUUCAUGAACCGUAUUUGGGUCCCUAAACUCGGAGGAUUUAGGGAGGUAGUCAUGAAGGAAACCCACAAGACGCGAUACUCCAUCCAUCCUGGCUCGGACAAGAUGUAUUUGAAUAUUAAACAACACUAUUGGUGGCCUAACAUGAAGGCAAAAAUUGCCACCUAUGUUGGUAAGUUCCUUACUUGUGCCAAGGUAAAGGUGGAAUACCAGAAGCCCUCAGGAUUAUUACAGCAACCGGUGAUUCCUGAGUGGAAGUCGGAAGGGAUUUCUAUGGAUUUUGUGACCAAGCUACCCAAGACGCCGGACGGAUUAGACACUAUAUGGGUAAUAGUUGACCGACUGACGAAAUCCACCCAUUUCCUGCCAAUAAAAGAAUCCUACAAGAUGGAGAGACUGACGCGUUUAUACAUUCGAGAAAUCGUGAGACUUCAUGGAAUACCAGUGUCUAUCAUCUCAGAUAGAGACAGUAGAUUCACUUCACAUUUUUGGCAAUCACUUCAAAAAGCACUCGGAACCCAUCUCGACAUGAGCACCGCUUAUCACCCACAAACGGACGGUCAAAGCGAACGAACCAUUCAGACGCUCAAAGACAUGCUUCGCGCAUGUGUGAUAGACUUUGGGAAGUCUUGGGACAUCCGCUUACCCUUAGUUGACUUCUCUUAUAACAACAGUUCCCAUUCGAGCAUCAAAGUCGCUCCUUUCGAAGCACUAUAUGGACGUAAGUGUAGAUCACUGUUGUAUUGGGCUGAGGUGGGCGACACCCAGCUAGCAAAGACACUAGCAUCGGACAAGGUGCUAACGGCACCGGAGAUCAUUCGUGAAACCACAGAAAAGAUAGUUCAAAUCAGAGCUCGAUUACAAGCAUCGCGCGACCGACAAAAGAGCUACGCCGAUAAACGGCGAAAGCCCUUAGAGUUUCAGGUCGGGGAUCGAGUGCUGUUAAAAGUCUCACCUUGGAAAGGACUCAUUCGUUUCGGAAAACGAGGAAAACUAAACCCACGAUACAUUGGACCUUUUGAGAUCGUUGCCCGAAUAGGUCCAGUGGCGUACAAACUGUAGCUACCCGCGGAGCUAAACAAUGUACACCCCGUGUUCCAUGUCUCCAAUCUAAAGAAGUGCCUAUCAAAUGAAACACUCGUCAUUCCCCUUGACGAGAUCGAAAUCAACGAGAAUCUCCUGUUCGUUGAAGAACUAGUCGAAAUCAUGGACAGGGAGGUGAAGCGUACUAAGCAAAGUCGCAUCCCGAUCGUGAAAGUAUGGUGGAACGCGAAGCGUGGGCCAGAAUUCACGUGGGAACGCGAAGACCAAAUGAAGCAAAAGCACUCUCAUCUAUUCUAGAAUUCUCAAAUCUAGCUUUCAAAAAGAAUUUCGGGACGAAAUUCCCUCUAACGGGGGGAUGAUGUCACAACUAGAAAUUUUUGUGCCUUGUAAACUACAACAACUAAGUCAAAUUGUGAAUCAAAGACAUGAGAGCAUGUAUGAUGCAUACUCUAUAACAACAGAAUUUCAAUCAAACACCUCAUACAAGCAUUUCAAUGUAGUCAUUAAGCAAUUGGAAACCCUAGGUGCUUGUUUAAGUCCAUUAUGGACUAGGACUUCCUUAUUGGGCCCAAUGGACCAAUAAGCUUCCAAUUUGGCUACCUUGGGCUUAGAACUCUUAAAUGGGCUCUAAUUGGACCCACUUUCAUUCAUUUUAACAUUUUGGGCCAUAUUGGGCCUAGAAUGAAAUAAAACACCUUAAUGGACCUCAUUGGGCCAUAACUAACCUAAUUAGCCCUAAUGGGCCAUAAGAAUCAUAUUUAUAUUUAUUUGGGCCGUGAAUUACUCUAAAAGGGCCAAUGGGGCGAAAACCAUUAACUUGGACUCCAUAUUAUGGACUUAAACAUAAAAGGCCCAAAUCUCCAUCUCUCUUCUCUAUCUCUCGGCCCAAACUACAAACCCAAGAAGAAGGGUUGACUUUGCUUGCCACCUCAUUUUUAUAUGGAGGAUAUCUAAGCUUUUGCACUUCAAACAUCCAUGCAAUCUCAUCUUCCCAUGCAAGCACUUCUCUUCUUCUCCCUUUCUCUCUUGCUCUCGGCCGAUUCCAAGCACACACACACACAUUUCACUCACUAUUCUCUCAAGAAACUCUCUCAUUUCUCCUCCAUAUUUUCGAGAUCUAAGGAGCUUUCAAGAAGAUAUCUCCACAAAUUCUUCAUCUAAGGUAAGAUCAAGUUUGGAUCUAUGAUCUAGGUUCUUUGUUUUAUCAAAAAUCUCCUUCUAAUCCAUGUAAAAAUCAUUAUCACUCUCUUAGAAACCCUCUAAGUUCGAGAUCUCCAAGGAAGGUUGCUAAGGCCGAAUUUUCUUCUCAUUUUCUUCCAAAAACCGAAACCACACCCAAAGGUGAGCUUCAUACCCCCUCUUUUUCGGUUUUUAUAAGUUUUGUGGGGGAGAAUACAAGCAAAUGUGUAGAUCUAUGAGUAUAUGUAUGCUUUGUGUGAUUUCUAUGCUUAUAUGUAUGAUCUUAUGUGAUUGUGGUGUUUGUACUAGUCAAAAAGAACUUAAAAACCGAGAUCUACAAUAUGAUGAAUGAAAUAAGUAUAACUUAUACCAUUUCACACUAAUCAAGUCUAGAAAAAUAACCAAGUUGGUUAAUAUGAACAUUUUUGGACUUAAAACCCAUUUUUGGGCUCAAAAUGCUAAAAAUACAAAACUAAAGGGCCCAAAACGACAAUAUACGAAUUCUGAAGGUUGAGAUGAGUCUAAACAGUUUCUAAUGUGUAUUUUCUGAAUAUCAACACUUUUGAGGGGUUAAAAAUAUGAAUUUUAAACAUAAUGGGCCAAAAUGGGCUUUUCGGCCCAAUAAAGCCCCAAAUUGCGAGAUUUUUGAUUUGGAGGGGCUGAAACUGCACAUUUCUAUAUAACAGGGGAUUACUAGUGUACCAAGUCCAUUUCAAGGGUCAAAAUGCUUUUCAAAUUAAAAAGGGACCAAAGAUGCAAAAAAAUUUCCAUUUUGGGCCAAAAUUGUAAAAGUUGCGAAAAUGGAGGUUUCAACCAAGAAAAUUUCAUUUUUGAAGGACUUAAGCUGUUUAUCAAGUAAAUUUGUGCUAAAAAUGUCUUUCCAACAAGUUUUGAUACUAAAGUGUCAAGAAAAAUAGUUUAAGGACUAAAAUGGAAAUUCUUUUAUACACAAAGGGUUAAAAGUGUAAAGUUUAUCCAAGAAAGGACUUUAAAAAAAAGGAAUAAAUAAACUCUAACUCGUACAACAACAAACCCCCUUACGAUUAAAAUACGAGUACUAUGUCUACCGGCGAAACGUAAUAAUAAAUACACCUUCAACACCAAAAUCGUUAUCAAACGAAUUGAUUCGCUCUCGAAUCAAUAACGAAUCAAAAAUCAAUAAACGAUGGUACUUCAAUGCACACGCGGAAAAUUCAUGAGAAGUCAAUACACCAUCUUUGUGCUCAAAAGUUUCAAAUCGUGCUUGUUGGGCCUAGCUAGCCCAAUGACAUGAUCUUUUGGCCCGAAGGGAACGUGCUUACAUGUUAUUGGGCCUUAUAUGACCUAGUUUCGUGUAAAAGGACUUUCAAUAGCUUUAUUGUGUUGUUGGGCCCCAAGGGUCCUUUGGUACUGCUAGCAAAGUCAAGAAGUCAAAUGCGAGUCGGUCCAAGGGCCUUUCGCAUUCACGAUAGCCUUGAACGACUCAUGGAAAUAACGGGGACUUCGUACCCUCUUUUCUCCUCGGUUGUGGGGCUAUGAGAAGUCAGGGUGGUUGGAUUAAGUGAGUAGUACGGACGACGCCUAAGGGGUCGUUUGUAUAGUUGUAAACUAGUCAUUUUAUUAAUGUGUGAUUAUAACGACUCACAACCCGUAAUUAAUCCAAUGUCACCUGGAAUUAUCGAAAACAACGUCUUAUCGGAAUAAUACUAACUCAGCCACGUAAUUUAAUGUAUUGGGAAAACAUCGGGUUUUCCUGGGAAAUUCAACGCUUUUAACUAUGUGAUAUGUACAAAGUUUAACAAUUAUUCACAUUCAUAAUAAUCAACAAGCCUACUUACGGAUCUUCACACUUUUUC
RNAcentral lists this long non-coding RNA (9750 nucleotides) under Lactuca sativa (garden lettuce). Its description in RNAcentral is "long non-coding RNA (LSAT_LNC004626)". The record is from RNAcentral. Lineage: Eukaryota; Viridiplantae; Streptophyta; Magnoliopsida; Asterales; Asteraceae.